Molecule: long non-coding RNA, 352 nt
Filed under: Cricetulus griseus (Chinese hamster)
Lineage: Eukaryota; Metazoa; Chordata; Mammalia; Rodentia; Cricetidae
Description: lncRNA (ENSCGRG00015033243.1)
Source: RNAcentral
CUGACAAUAACAAGGGAGGCUCUUUACUCUGAGAGAGGCAGACGCUUCGUGAUGACGUCACUUCUAGACUUAAAGUGUGCUAAGGCACCCUGUCCUGAUGUAGGAGGACAGAGGAGGAGCCUUGGAAGACCUCUCCAGAGGACCCAGUUUCCGCUCCUAAAAUGAUCCCCAAAAGAUGCCAUCGCCCCCAGACAGCAGGAAGUAAUUUGAAGAACACAGAACCCACAUUCCCAAGAUGUAGGCUCCAGGACUGCAAACUAGAGCUUCACCCUGAGAUGGAACUAAAUCUGAGGCCUCUGUGUACAGCAGGGGGGCACAGUGAAGACUUUAAGUUGUAAAAAGGAAACCCAGG